This 45-nucleotide non-coding RNA is filed under the name Schistosoma haematobium. Lineage: Eukaryota; Metazoa; Platyhelminthes; Trematoda; Strigeidida; Schistosomatidae. The record is from RNAcentral.
AUCCAACUGGUGGGUCCCAAAUAGGACGAAACGCACGUCCUGGAU